Molecule: long non-coding RNA, 1546 nt
Organism: Passer domesticus (house sparrow)
Lineage: Eukaryota; Metazoa; Chordata; Aves; Passeriformes; Passeridae
Exons: 3
Source: RefSeq, a predicted model, not a curated record
CAUCUGCCGCUGCCCACAGCAGAGCCUGGCUGGCAUGUCGGCUCUCCUUCCCACCGGUGACACCUGAGAAAAGCCCUCGCUUGGAGAAGCAGGCAUCAGGUUCUGCAGGGGAAAGCGGGGCAAUAAGCACAGCCCUGAUGCUCAAUCAGCAGAGCAGUGACGUAACUACAUCCCAUGCACUGUGCAGAUCACCGUGCUCCCUGAACUCCUUCCAGGGUGCUGGUGUGAGGACCUUGGUGAGACACUGCAUGUGGCAGGUCACUCAGCUCCUUAACAGCAGGCCCCAGCUUAUUAAGAAUGGAAGCAAGAAUUACUGUCUUACUGAAGAUCAUCACAACAUCAUGUUUCUGAUUUUGGAGAAGGACUCUCUGGUGAUCUGGGGAUAGCUGGUAUCAGUGAGAAACAAAACACCAUCAGGCAGUUCUCCACGUUUUUUCAACAGAAGGGCUUGAGAAACUUGUAGGGAAAGACUACACUUCUCUAAAUGCCUGUUGUUAUGAUAUGACCUUAUUUUAGUACCAUCCAAAGUCCUUUGAUUUAUAGUGAGAAGACAGAACCACUUACUUUGUAAAGGACAAAUAAAAUCGGGAAAAUUUAAGCUCCUUUUCCUGUGUCCUAAAAGGACUGACCCAUGUGUUGCCAUUUACUCCUGUUGAGUUACUCCUUAUUGUGCAGCUCACCUUGAAUGAAGAAUAGAUUGAUUUUUAACAGUGGCUAUUUAUUUUGGGGACCGUCAUCCUCAUUUGCUUCACAGAGAUAGCCUGAAAGAUCUCACACAAAAGAAAAACAAGAAAAAAAAUAAACAAGAAAAAGAAAAAAAAAAAAAAACAGGGAAAAAAAACCCACACAACCUGCCAUUGGAAACCAAGACUCUUCAGAGCUGUUCAAAGGAGAAAGAAACCUCUUGCCUGCGUGUUCAACAGCUAUGGGAUUCUCAAGCUAUGAAGUUAUGAAUUGUUACAUGCCCAGUGAUCCCCAGCAGUAAGGCAAUGUGCAGAAAGAGGUGUUUCAAUAUGUUAGAUUAAAAUUUGAGACUGAAAUAGAACUCAAAAAAUAUUGAUAUUCAAAAGAAAACAAUCAGAGAUGCCAGCUACAGUCUUAGUGAUCUCAUGUAUUCACUCCCUCCAAUUUGAAGGCAACUUUUCCCUGAUAGUGAGCAUGUCAUCAAAGCCUUGAGGAUACUUUAUAUCUGCCUGGAGGAACCUACAGGAAAUCCAUGUAGGGAAGAGGCAUGCACGAGGCGUGUGACUUAGGUGCCAGACCAAGAGAAAUUUUUAAACCUGUUCUGCCCUUUGCCCAAAACAUUAAUAUUGUAUUUUCUUGAGUCUCCAAAAUAUUCUAUCUCAAAUUUUGAUUUUAAAAAUAAUAAAUAAAUAAAUAAAUAAAUAAAUAAAUAAAUCUUUGAAAUAUUCUUUUUCACAAUAGAGGAGGUAAAAGCUCCAAUCCCAACACAGUUGCUUACUGCCCUAUACAAACAUAAUAAAUCUACCCUCCAAAAGAUACCUCAGCAUAUUAAGAAGGCCUCUUCAGGUAUAAAAACUAAUAU